UGGUCUAGUGGUUAGGAUGCAGCACUCUCACUGCUGCGGCCUGGGUUCGAUUCCCGG
Molecule: transfer RNA, 57 nt
Filed under: Manacus vitellinus (golden-collared manakin)
Lineage: Eukaryota; Metazoa; Chordata; Aves; Passeriformes; Pipridae
Rfam family: tRNA
About the family: Transfer RNA (tRNA) molecules are approximately 80 nucleotides in length. Their secondary structure includes four short double-helical elements and three loops (D, anti-codon, and T loops).
Source: Rfam by way of RNAcentral